AGGAAAGUUUGAGUGUGAAUGCAAGAAAGUUGAAAAGUGGGUGUGAUUUUUCUUUCUCUAGCCAUACAAGUAUCCACCCCAAAUUUUCCACUCUCCUUAUCUGAUUUUGCUGCCCCAAAAGUCUUCUCCCAUAUCUAAUCUUCUUGGCUGCACCAGACAAGAAAGUCCAGCUCCUUUACUUCUUUCUCUAUUCCUCUUUCUUUGCUCUUCUUUCUCUCUUCUUCCUUUGUUCUUACAUGGCAGCCCUCCCUCUCUCACCAAAACAAAAUAUCCCUCUCUAAAGAAGAAAUUAAAGGGUUAACACUAAAAUUUCAGCUUUAAAUUGUUGGGGGUGUUACCAGUAUCCAAGUCUAAGCUCCUUCGAC
This is a long non-coding RNA of Quercus robur (English oak), 365 nucleotides long. RefSeq lists it as uncharacterized. The record is from RefSeq and is a predicted model, not a curated record. The transcript is spliced from 2 exons. Lineage: Eukaryota; Viridiplantae; Streptophyta; Magnoliopsida; Fagales; Fagaceae.